Capsicum annuum is the source of this 336-nucleotide long non-coding RNA. RefSeq lists it as uncharacterized. NCBI's taxonomy places the organism in Eukaryota, Viridiplantae, Streptophyta, Magnoliopsida, Solanales, Solanaceae. The record is from RefSeq and is a predicted model, not a curated record. The transcript is spliced from 2 exons.
AAAUAUUGAAUUCAUCAAAUUUCAAUAAGCAACAUGGCUAAGUUGUUGAACUUUAUUAUCAUUUGUUUCUUUCUCAUUUUCUCAGUUACAAUGACAAACACUCAAGUGAAAGCUCAAUUUGAGAAAAAAAAAUCAUAUCCACAUACUUGUGUUAAGAAGAUUGAAAAAAAUUCUUGCAAUAAGGAGAAAUGUGAAGAUAAGUGUUACAGGAUUUAUGAUGGACAGGGAGUUUGUACUGAGGACCAAUGUGUUUGUACUUACAUUUGUGAUGAUCUCCUUUAAUCCAAACAUAGACUUAUGUCAUAAAUAAAAUUGAGUCAAUCACAUUUCUAUGAA